AUGGUUAAGUUAGAAAGGGCGCACGGUGAAUGCCUUGGCACUAGGAGCCGAUGAAGGACGGGACUAACACCGAUAUGCUUCGGGGAGCUGUAAGUGAGCUUUGAUCCGGAGAUUUCCGAAUGGGGAAACCCACUGUUCGUAAUGGAACAGUAUCUUUAUCUGAAUACAUAGGAUAUUGAAGGCAGACCCGGGGAACUGAAACAUCUAAGUACCCGGAGGAAGAGAAAGCAAAUGCGAUUUCCUGAGUAGCGGCGAGCGAAACGGAAUUAGCCCAAACCAAGAGGCUUGCCUCUUGGGGUUGUAGGACACUCUAUACGGAGUUACAAAGGAACGAAGUAAAUGAAGCGACCUGGAAAGGUCCGUCGAAGAAGGUAACAACCCUGUAGUUGAAACUUCGUUCCCUCUUGAGUGGAUCCUGAGUACGGCGGAACACGUGAAAUUCCGUCGGAAGCUGGGAGGACCAUCUCCCAAGGCUAAAUACUACCUAGUGACCGAUAGUGAACCAGUACCGUGAGGGAAAGGUGAAAAGCACCCCGGAAGGGGAGUGAAAGAGAUCCUGAAACCGUGUGCCUACAAGUAGUCAGAGCCCGUUAACGGGUGAUGGCGUGCCUUUGUAGAAUGAACCGGCGAGUUACGAUCCCAUGCAAGGUUAAGCUGAUAAGGCGGAGCCGUAGCGAAAGCGAGUCUGAAUAGGGCGUUUAGUAUGUGGUUGUAGACCCGAAACCAGGUGAUCUACCCAUGUCCAGGGUGAAGUUCAGGUAACACUGAAUGGAGGCCCGAACCCACGCACGUUGAAAAGUGCGGGGAUGAGGUGUGGGUAGCGGAGAAAUUCCAAUCGAACCUGGAGAUAGCUGGUUCUCUCCGAAAUAGCUUUAGGGCUAGCCUCAUGUUGUGAGAGUCUUGGAGGUAGAGCACUGAUUGGACUAGGGGCCCCCAACGGGUUACCGAAUUCAGUCAAACUCCGAAUGCCAAAGACUUAUCCAUGGGAGUCAGACUGCGAGUGAUAAGAUCCGUAGUCAAAAGGGAAACAGCCCAGACCACCAGCUAAGGUCCCCAAGUAUACGUUAAGUGGAAAAGGAUGUGGAGUUGCUUAGACAACCAGGAUGUUGGCUUAGAAGCGUACCACCAUUUAAAGAGUGCGUAAUAGCUCACUGGUCGAGUGACUCUGCGCCGAAAAUGUACCGGGGCUAAACGUAUCACCGAAGCUGUGGAUUGACAUCUUUGAUGUCAGUGGUAGGAGAGCGUUCUAAGUGCGGCCGAAGUCAGACCGUAAGGACUGGUGGAGCGCUUAGAAGUGAGAAUGCCGGUAUGAGUAGCGAAAGACAAGUGAGAAUCUUGUCCACCGAAUGCCUAAGGUUUCCUGAGGAAGGCUCGUCCGCUCAGGGUUAGUCGGGACCUAAGCCGAGGCUGAAAAGCGUAGGCGAUGGCCAACAGGUUGAUAUUCCUGUACCACCUCCCCGCCGUUUGAGUAAUGGGGGGACGCAGUAGGAUAGGGUAAGCGCGGCCGCUGGAUAUGCGCGUUCAAGCAGUUAGGCUGAUGAGUAGGCAAAUCCGCUCAUCAUAAAGGCUGAGCUGUGAUGACGAGGGAAUUAUAGUACCGAAGUUCCUGAUUCCACACUGCCAAGAAAAGCCUCUAGCGAGGCGGGAGGUGCCCGUACCGCAAACCGACACAGGUAGGCGAGGAGAGAAUCCUAAGGUGAUCGAGAGAACUCUCGUUAAGGAACUCGGCAAAAUGACCCCGUAACUUCGGGAGAAGGGGUGCUCUGGUAGGGUGUAUAGCCCGAGAGAGCCGCAGUGAAUAGGCCCAGGCGACUGUUUAGCAAAAACACAGGUCUCUGCGAAGCCGCAAGGCGAAGUAUAGGGGCUGACGCCUGCCCGGUGCUGGAAGGUUAAGAGGAGGGGUUAUCCUUUGGGAGAAGCUCUGAAUCGAAGCCCCAGUAAACGGCGGCCGUAACUAUAACGGUCCUAAGGUAGCGAAAUUCCUUGUCGGGUAAGUUCCGACCCGCACGAAAGGCGUAACGAUCUGGGCACUGUCUCAACGAGAGACUCGGUGAAAUUAUAGUACCUGUGAAGAUGCAGGUUACCCGCGACAGGACGGAAAGACCCCGUGGAGCUUUACUGUAGCCUGAUAUUGAAUUUUGGUACAGCUUGUACAGGAUAGGUAGGAGCCUGAGAAGCCGGAGCGCUAGCUUCGGUGGAGGCGUCGGUGGGAUACUACCCUGGCUGUAUUGAAAUUCUAACCCGCGGCCCUGAUCGGGCCGGGAGACAGUGUCAGGUGGGCAGUUUGACUGGGGCGGUCGCCUCCUAAAAUGUAACGGAGGCGCCCAAAGGUUCCCCUCAGAAUGGUUGGAAAUCAUUCGUAGAGUGUAAAGGCACAAGGGAGCUUGACUGCGAGACCUACAAGUCGAGCAGGGACGAAAGUCGGGCUUAGUGAUCCGGUGGUUCCGCAUGGAAGGGCCAUCGCUCAACGGAUAAAAGCUACCCCGGGGAUAACAGGCUUAUCUCCCCCAAGAGUCCACAUCGACGGGGAGGUUUGGCACCUCGAUGUCGGCUCAUCGCAUCCUGGGGCUGUAGUCGGUCCCAAGGGUUGGGCUGUUCGCCCAUUAAAGCGGUACGCGAGCUGGGUUCAGAACGUCGUGAGACAGUUCGGUCCCUAUCCGUCGUGGGCGUAGGAAAUUUGAGAGGAGCUGUCCUUAGUACGAGAGGACCGGGAUGGACACACCGCUGGUGUACCAGUUGUCUUGCCAAAGGCAUCGCUGGGUAGCUAUGUGUGGACGGGAUAAGUGCUGAAAGCAUCUAAGCAUGAAGCCCCCCUCAAGAUGAGAUUUCCCAUAGCGCAAGCUAGUAAGAUCCCUGAAAGAUGAUCAGGUUGAUAGGUCAGAGGUGGAAGCGUGGCGACAUGUGUAGCUGACUGAUACUAAUCGAUCGAGGACUUAACCAAAC
RNAcentral lists this ribosomal RNA (2943 nucleotides) under Priestia megaterium. RNAcentral's name for it is "Bacillus megaterium 23S ribosomal RNA". It matches the Rfam family "Bacterial large subunit ribosomal RNA". The record is from RNAcentral. Lineage: Bacteria; Bacillati; Bacillota; Bacilli; Caryophanales; Bacillaceae.